GAUGAACGCUGGCGGCGUGCCUAAUACAUGCAAGUCGAGCGAACAGACGAGGAGCUUGCUCCUCUGACGUUAGCGGCGGACGGGUGAGUAACACGUGGAUAACCUACCUAUAAGACUGGGAUAACUUCGGGAAACCGGAGCUAAUACCGGAUAAUAUAUUGAACCGCAUGGUUCAAUAGUGAAAGACGGUUUUGCUGUCACUUAUAGAUGGAUCCGCGCCGCAUUAGCUAGUUGGUAAGGUAACGGCUUACCAAGGCAACGAUGCGUAGUCGACCUGAGAGGGUGAUCGGCCACACUGGAACUGAGACACGGUCCAGACUCCUACGGGAGGCAGCAGUAGGGAAUCUUCCGCAAUGGGCGAAAGCCUGACGGAGCAACGCCGCGUGAGUGAUGAAGGUCUUCGGAUCGUAAAACUCUGUUAUUAGGGAAGAACAAAUGUGUAAGUAACUAUGCACGUCUUGACGGUACCUAAUCAGAAAGCCACGGCUAACUACGUGC
RNAcentral lists this ribosomal RNA (498 nucleotides) under uncultured bacterium. Its description in RNAcentral is "partial 16S ribosomal RNA". It matches the Rfam family "Bacterial small subunit ribosomal RNA", at positions 28 to 508 of the family's 1533-position model. The record is from RNAcentral.